Long non-coding RNA from Mercenaria mercenaria, 1373 nucleotides. RefSeq lists it as uncharacterized. Lineage: Eukaryota; Metazoa; Mollusca; Bivalvia; Venerida; Veneridae. The transcript is spliced from 3 exons. The record is from RefSeq and is a predicted model, not a curated record.
UAUGAAACGUUGCCUGCGGCACAAAAUGUGCCGCACUGAAAUGAAGGCAUUGCGCUUCCGACGGCGCAGGCAUUGCGCAGGAUGUUUACAAAAAUAACGAGCAAGAUGGAUGUACAUGCAUUUAGUGUAUAUAAAAAGGAAAAAGAAAAUCAUUUCACCUUAUGAUCAGACGAAAACUUUAUGUGUACAGUCAGUGCACAGACCUAAAUCAUAGUUCAACGACAAAGAGGUGCAGAUUAUUCAGACAUGAAAGAGAUGUUGCGUAACGGAAAAUCUCGUUUAUCCGGUGUCGGACGAGCGGUAUCCCAGACACAUGUGGCUAAUACUCCGCAACAUAGUCAAGCGGAAUCUGCAGUAUCUGAAGGCACAACAGUUUUUAGUGCGGCAGAGCUUAAAUUGAUGAAAGACACAUUAUCAGAAGUGCCAAGUAGAAAUUCUGAAUAUGAAACACGAAAGUCUUGCUGCAGAAAAGAUGCGGUCAGAUCAAAUGAAAACUAUAUUCACGGCUGUAGAAAGCAUUAAACAUGCAUGAUCUUCAUGUUUGUAACCGAACGAUUACUAACUAUAUUCAAAAUAGUGUUGAAGUAAUUUCCUUUGAUCACGUCAGUUGUUUGAAACCAUUAGCAAAUAAGAUCAUUUCAACAGAGAGUACACUUAAAGGACUUUCUAGACGAAUCAAAACUGUUAAAAGUUGAAAAGUUAGCCACAUUAUUUUAUAGUGGAAAUAACAAUAAAGGUAACAAACAUAUAGCUGAUAAUACCAACUCUCAUGGAUUCUAAAUAAGAAUGUAAAUUUGCCCUCAUUUUGUGUCUCAGACAAGUAUAGGAUAAUCUGACUGGUAUAUUUGGGUCUAUUGGGUUUUGUUAUGCAAAACUACAAUACAUCUAAGCAGACAAACACUUAUUUUGUACUUUUGAUGUCAAUAUUAGGUGAGAUAUUCCAUUUAUCAAAACAAAAUAAUGAAAAUGUUCAUGUCGCCACUUCAAAGUAUUCAAUUUGUCUGUGUGUAAAUAACAGGGAAAACUUAUUUCCGGUGCUAUUUAGUGUUUGUUUGUAUUUAGCAUUGUCAGAGUAGGAAUAAAAAUAUCACCAGAGAAAUACUUCGUGUAUAUCUUGUUUAAUAAAAUCGUAAACACGUUGUUUCCAAAAUGGCUGCAAGAUACGUUACAUGGAAAUCUCAGUACAAAAAUAUAAUUAAGAACGAUCUAUUGUGCCUCCAAUAGUGAUUUCCGAACUAAUGAAUCAAUUUGCUACCCCGAAUUGAUAUCAUAUACAUCCACCAAUAACACCUGAUCUUUUUAAAAUGGGUCAAAUAUUGAAAUCGGCAAUGCUACUUUAACUCAUGCAAGAUACGUUACCUGUAAAAGCAGUU